CUGUUAAUAACCCCAAAACCAUUAAAUACUAAAUAAACAAACCAUUUUUCCACCUAAGUAUGGGCGACAGAAAAGGAACACAGGCGCCAUAGAAAAAGUACCGCAAGGGAAUGCUGAAAAAGAAAUGAAAUAGACCAGUAAAGUUGAAAAAAGCAGAGACUUACACUCGUACCUUUUGCAUCAUGAUUUAGUUAGUAAAGACCAAGCAAAGCGCACUUUAGUUUGAUACCCCGAAACUAAGUGAGCUACUCCAAGACAGUCUAAAAACAGGACUAACCCGUCUCUGUGGCAAAAGAGUGGGAUGAGCUUAGAGUAGAGGUGAUAGACCUACCGAACCUAGUUAUAGCUGGUUACCUGAGAAAUGAAUAGAAGUUCAGCCCCUUUAUUUCUCUACUCAAUGCUAACUUAUCUACCACUGACUUAGAGAAAUCAAGAUAGUUAAUUAAAGGGGGUACAGCCCCUUUAAAUAAGAUACAACUUAAUCAGACGGGUAAAGAUCAUAGUCACCAAAGCAAAAUGUUUCAGUAGGCUUGAAAGCAGCCACCUAUAAGGAAAGCGUUAAAGCUCCUUCAUUCUACCAUCUACAAAUUCAGAUAAUAAAUCUAACCCCACUAGUUUUAUCAGGUCGCCCCAUACAAUUAUGGGGGCGUUCAUGCUAAUAUGAGUAAUAAGAAAAGUCAGCUUUUCUCCUUGCAUACCUGUAAAUCGAAACGGACCCCCCACCGAAUAUUAUCGGCCCCAAAAAAAGAGGGUAAUGAACUAAAACCUUAAUAACAAGAAAAACCCCAAAAUAUUAACCGUUAACUCCACACUGAUGUGCUAAUAAGGAAAGACUAAAAGAUAAUAGAAGGAACUCGGCAAAUACAAGCCUCGCCUGUUUACCAAAAACACCGCCUCUUGCAAAUAAAAAUAUAAGAGGUCA
Molecule: ribosomal RNA, 922 nt
Filed under: Betta mandor
Lineage: Eukaryota; Metazoa; Chordata; Actinopteri; Anabantiformes; Osphronemidae
Description: partial 16S ribosomal RNA
Rfam family: Bacterial large subunit ribosomal RNA (bases 151-922)
Source: RNAcentral